Molecule: unclassified non-coding RNA, 114 nt
Organism: Prolemur simus (greater bamboo lemur)
Lineage: Eukaryota; Metazoa; Chordata; Mammalia; Primates; Lemuridae
Rfam family: Y RNA
About the family: Y RNAs are components of the Ro ribonucleoprotein particle (Ro RNP), in association with Ro60 and La proteins. The Y RNAs and Ro60 and La proteins are well conserved, but the function of the Ro RNP is not known.
Source: Ensembl
GGCUGGUCCAAAGGUAGUGAGUUAUCUCACUUGAUUGUUCACAGUCAGUUACAGAUUGAACUCCUUGUUCUACUACUUUCCCCCCUCCUCACUACUGCACUUGACUAGUCUUAA